CAAUAAGACUCUCGGCAACGGAUAUCUUGGCUCUUGCAUCGAUGAAGAACGUAGCAAAAUGCGAUACCUGGUGUGAAUUGCAGAAUCCCGUGAACCAUCGAGUUUUUGAACGCAAGUUGCGCCUGAGGCCUCUCGGUUGAGGGCACGUCUGCCUGGGUGUCACG
Molecule: ribosomal RNA, 164 nt
Filed under: Sporobolus teretifolius
Lineage: Eukaryota; Viridiplantae; Streptophyta; Magnoliopsida; Poales; Poaceae
Description: 5.8S ribosomal RNA
Rfam family: 5.8S ribosomal RNA
About the family: 5.8S ribosomal RNA (5.8S rRNA) is a component of the large subunit of the eukaryotic ribosome.
Source: RNAcentral